UAGGGAAUCUUCGGCAAUGGGGGCAACCCUGACCGAGCAACGCCGCGUGAGUGAAGAAGGUUUUCGGAUCGUAAAGCUCUGUUGUAAGAGAAGAACGUGGGUGAGAGUGGAAAGUUCACACAGUGACGGUAACUUACCAGAAAGGGACGGCUAACUACGUGCCAGCAGCCGCGGUAAUACGUAGGUCCCGAGCGUUGUCCGGAUUUAUUGGGCGUAAAGCGAGCGCAGGCGGGUUAAUAAGUCUGAAGUUAAAGGCAGUGGCUUAACCAUUGUUCGCUUUGGAAACUGUUAAACUUGAGUGCAGAAGGGGAGAGUGGAAUUCCAUGUGUAGCGGUGAAAUGCGUAGAUAUAUGGAGGAACACCGGUGGCGAAAGCGGCUCUCUGGUCUUUAACUGACGCUGAGGCUCGAAAGCGUGGGGAGCAAACAGG
RNAcentral lists this ribosomal RNA (429 nucleotides) under bacterium. RNAcentral's name for it is "partial 16S ribosomal RNA". It matches the Rfam family "Bacterial small subunit ribosomal RNA", at positions 355 to 776 of the family's 1533-position model. The record is from RNAcentral.